RNAcentral lists this ribosomal RNA (492 nucleotides) under uncultured bacterium. RNAcentral describes it as "partial 16S ribosomal RNA". It matches the Rfam family "Bacterial small subunit ribosomal RNA", at positions 29 to 507 of the family's 1533-position model. The record is from RNAcentral.
AGUGAACGCUGGCGGUAGGCCUAACACAUGCAAGUCGAACGGCAGCACAGUAAGAGCUUGCUCUUACGGGUGGCGAGUGGCGGACGGGUGAGGAAUACAUCGGAAUCUACUUUUUCGUGGGGGAUAACGUAGGGAAACUUACGCUAAUACCGCAUACGACCUACGGGUGAAAGCAGGGGAUCUUCGGACCUUGCGCGAUUGAAUGAGCCGAUGUCGGAUUAGCUAGUUGGCGGGGUAAAGGCCCACCAAGGCGACGAUCCGUAGCUGGUCUGAGAGGAUGAUCAGCCACACUGGAACUGAGACACGGUCCAGACUCCUACGGGAGGCAGCAGUGGGGAAUAUUGGACAAUGGGCGCAAGCCUGAUCCAGCCACACCGCGUGGGUGAAGAAGGCCUUCGGAUUGUAAAGCCCUUUUGUUGGGAAAGAAAAGCAGCAGGUUAAUACCCCGCUGUUCUGACGGUACCCAAAGAAUAAGCACCGGCUAACUUCGUG